GAUGAACGCUAGCGACAGGCCUAACACAUGCAAGUCGAGGGGCAGCACAUGAGUAGCAAUACGAUGGUGGCGACCGGCGCACGGGUGAGUAACACGUAUGCAACCUGCCUGUAAGAGGGGAAUAACCCGGAGAAAUUCGGACUAAUACCGCAUAAUACCACGAGACUGCAUGGUUUUGUGGUUAAACAUUUAUGGCUUACAGAUGGGCAUGCGUAUGAUUAGAUAGUUGGUAGGGUAACGGCCUACCAAGUCUACGAUCAUUAGGGGUUCUGAGAGGAAGGUCCCCCACACUGGUACUGAGACACGGACCAGACUCCUACGGGAGGCAGCAGUGGGGAAUUUUGGACAAUGGGGGCAACCCUGAUCCAGCCAUGCCGCGUGAGUGAAGAAGGCCUUCGGGUUGUAAAGCACUUUUGGCGGGAGCGAAACGGCGUUUGCUAAUACCAGACGCUAAUGACGGUACCCGCAGAAUAAGCACCGGCUAACUACGUG
This 492-nucleotide ribosomal RNA is filed under the name uncultured bacterium. RNAcentral's name for it is "bacterial SSU rRNA". It matches the Rfam family "Bacterial small subunit ribosomal RNA", at positions 28 to 507 of the family's 1533-position model. The record is from RNAcentral.